RNAcentral lists this long non-coding RNA (632 nucleotides) under Olea europaea subsp. europaea. The record is from RNAcentral. Lineage: Eukaryota; Viridiplantae; Streptophyta; Magnoliopsida; Lamiales; Oleaceae.
GUUUUCUUGCACUAUUGUCAAAGGAAUUGAGAAGGUAUUAGAAGCACUCCAAUCCAAAACAUAAAGUUGCACUCUCAGAUUGCACAAUUGACAUCAAUGGCUAGAGGUAUAUUUUUGGUUCAUUUAAUUUCCACAGUUGAUCUAUGUGCUAUUUAAAGUUUAUAUGGCAUGAUUAGAUCGUAAGUAUAUAGUCUAACAGUUAGUAUCAAAGCAUCACUUUACCUCUGCCUUGUUUGUUUUGUUCUCUGCAAUUUUUUCCAGAAAUUUACUGUAAUUUCUUAGGGAUUUCAAAUUCUUAUUUCAUAGCUUUUGAUGAAAAAUAAGGUUAGGAAUCAUUAAGAAAUUGGAUUUCUAGACAAUCUUUUCAAACCUGCAGUUGGCUUUUCUUUAUUACCAUUGCAGAGAGAUGGGCUAAAUUGUGUAACUGUUGACAUGCAGUGGGCUUUCAAUCCUUGUCAUUUGCUAAUUGAAGUACAAGAAUGAAUUUUGUUUUGACCAUCAGUUUCCAGCAUAUGGGCCCACCUGCAUGAGAAAAAGGCCACUGAUGUACUACAAUUCUAAUAAAGUAAUGGUUUGGCAAAGACAAAAUCUACUCUACCAAUUUAUUACUGCAUGUGUAUAAGUUACAAAUU